UACAGAGAACCCAGAUGGGUUUGUGGUGACUUGAGGACAAGGCUUCAGUGGGAGAUUAUACUAAUCACCAACUCGUAGGCCUGUGAGCUUGAGUUUUAUGUAGAUGAAAGGAUAAUGAAGAUGUGGUAUAUUUAUACAAUGGAAUAUUAUUCAGGCAUAAAAAAAGAAUGAAAUCUUGUCAUUUGCAACAACAUGGAUGGACCUUAAAGGCAUUAUGGAGGAUUUUGAAACAGCAGAAGAAAUGAAAGAAUUGGAUAAACCCAUAUUCAACCCCUGACGAAAUAAUGGAUCUGGACAAUGGAUGCUGAAAUCAUGGGUGAAAUGUCAAUGGGGUGCUUUAUUAUGGAUGGUUCAGGCUGAUAUCACCUGAACCACUGGUCAAUCUUAACAUCACUAAACGUGGGACAGACAGACAUGUGCCUCCUGAUGUGACUCACGGCAGCCACCGCCUUUGACAUAUUCUUGCCAAAAAAUUUGAAUCUGAAUCCAGUUGUCUCUAAUCUAACCACCAGUUUAUAGGAAAUAUGAAUUUUAGAACAUCACCUUAAAUAACACCAUGAAGGUACAAUCAGCCAAAUCUAGAAUCUUCAGCAAAUAAGUGUCAUGAAAAAAAAAAGAGGGGGCGAUGUUAGAUUAUAGGAGACUUACAAAACCCAUCAACCAAACACAGUGUGUGAAUUUUGUUGGGAUUCUGAUUCAAACAAGCAACGCCAAAAGACAUUUUUGAGAUAAUCAGAGAAAACUGAGUAGGGAUUGGGGUUAAAUGAUACUAAGGAAUAAUUAUAAAUUGUGUUGUUAUGAAAAUGGUACGGUUGUUAUUUUAAAAUUUUCUGUUAUGAUACAUUCUGAAGUAUUUAUGAAUGGGAUAAUAUGAUGGCUGAUAUUCUUGUCUAGGAAAAAGAGGUUGAAAGGUGGAUAGUUGAAACAAAAAUGAGAAAAUGUUGCUAAUUCUUAAAGCUAGGUGAUGAAUCUAUGGAGAUUAAUCAUUCUUCCUACUUUGGGAUAUAUUUGAGAAGUUCUAGAAUGAACAGCUUUAAAAAAAGGUAUUACUUUUGUUUCACAUCAUUUAUUCUUCCUUUCCUCCUCAGCAGGGCACUAUCACCCACUAUUUAUAAUUUAAGAAGGGAAGACAGUCACUCACCUUCCUUUCCAAACACUCAAGCAGAAAUAGUUCUAUUUCCCAAAGAUCUGUUCUAUAAUUCCCAGAUACUGCAUUUGCUCAAUCUCUAUUUAACGUGGCCUUUAUGGGAUAGGGGCUCUCUGAAAUGACUAGGGUCUCCAACAGUUAUCAAUUUAAAAUUUUGUCUAUUUUCUGCCUCAUUCAUUUCUUCAAGGUUAUGUGUCCAUCAAAAUAAGAGGCCAGUUGUAGAGAAAAUUGAAUAGCUUAUAAUAUGGACUGUAAUUUUUAUACCGUGGCUGUCAUAUUCAGUAUUUAAAGGCUGAGCUGCAAGUUGAAUGACCAUAAUAUUACUUUGAAAAUUUCUAUGGAAUUCAACAUUUUAUGGCAUUUUCCACUCAGGAGAAAAUCUUCUAUAAAUGUUCCAAUUUUUAGAAUCCCCGUGGAGCCGGGAUAAUAGUCACUGCCUAAAAUGGAUGAAGACUAAAAGAGAAUCCUAAGGGAGUGUUACCUCACUCUCUUGGGCUAUUUUUAGCCUCAGGUUUGCUCCCAGAGACAGAGGUGAAUAACUUUGUCAUCCAUUUCUCCUAACUAAAUGUGCAUCCUGACUUUCUCUCUUUACUACUCAUCAAAUUGGCAUUUUUGGUUUUUAACCCUUUCGGAUGUUCUGACCGCCUUAAAGAUUCUUAAUAAUUCAAGGACGCUUCCUCAAUAAAAUACUACGUAUGUGCCUGUACCCGCAGAGUAUCUGGGGGCAGACUUCUGUGUUGUUAUAGAAUGCAUGCUCAGUAGAAUCAUGCACAGUGGUUAGUUGCUCUUUGGUGGAUUGUCUCCUUUGCAAUUUUGUGGGAGAUUCUGUAAAAUAGACUGGAUAUUUCUAUGGUUCCCAGACUUCUGUGGCAUGGUUUUAUUUACUUGUCAAUCAAAAUUAUGUCUAAUAAAUGUCAUGUUAUGAUUUGAGGGUAACCCAUGGCAGCAUUUUUAGAUUGACUUCAUUUAAAAAGCGAUGUUGAUGACAGGGAAUGGAAAAUGAUUUAUUCUGCACAAGGAUGAGGUCAAUUGCACUGUCUCUGAAAGCUAAAGUUCUCAAAUCUUUUCCUUUUGUUUGGAGGACCCAUUGCUCUUUCUCUCAUUCUUUCCGUAUCUGAGACCAGGCUUGUAUUUUAGGGUGUUCCGACAUGGAAACAACCAAAUAAGGUUAUUUGCUCUCCCAAAUGACUCAGUUGAGUAGGAGUAAGGAGACAAGUGAAAGAAUGAUUUAUGAGGCCUUGUGAGGGCUCAAAGGAGAGAAUAGCCGUAGUCUGCCUGGAGAGAAGCAGAGAGGAAGGGUUUCACAGGAGAGCUGACGUUUACACUGAGUCUUAAAAAAGGAGAAAGGACAUGCUAGACGGGGAGAGGGAUAUGAACAAAGUCAGGGAGAUCUGAAACAGUAUAGUACAUUUAGGGGGCUGCAACCAAUUCAGUAUUGCUGGAGGACGGUGUGGGUGUGUGUGUGCGCGUGCAUGCACACGCAGGUGUGUUGUAGAAGGCAGGGUAAGGAUGGUGAAGAUUAGAGAAGUUAUAAUAAGAAAUAACGUUGGGAUGUAAGCAAGAGCUUUGUGUGUCUUACUAAGGAAAUAGGACUUUAUUCUGUAGGUGACGGGAAGCCUUUGUGAUGCUGACUUCUUAAUAUCAUCCUGUCCCUGUCAUGGGCUUUUACCAAUAUCCCUUUCACCCUUAUGCAGUGAGAGGCCCAGAAUGAUCUUUGGAUAGCACACAGUAAUCAAAGCAAGGUAUGGACUAUAUGUGCAUUAGUGUUAAUGUUCCUUUAGGGGGUUGAGGUAGCUCAAGUUUAGGCUUUUGAGAAUGUUGGCAUAUUUCUUGUUUCAUAGGGCUAAGAACGUGGGGCAGGACAGCAAUCUGGCAUAAGUUUAUUGCAGGUGGGAUUUGUUGCAGAUAUAUAGGCUUCUAAGAUGCCAUCUUAAUUAGUACUUCUGGAAUAACUAUGCUUGGAUUCUAUGCAAGAACUUGAUAUGUCUCUUUAGAACUCUUUUGCUUUCUUUCCAUCUUCACAUUUCAAUGAAACUUCACUAGUUUUUAAACUAUAUAUGGCAUACACCCUGUCCAUGACUUAAAAAGAGGACAUAAUUUGCUACUAUUUCCAUUUACAAUUCAAGGUCUCUGAUACGAUAAUUUAGUCUUUGAUUUGUACAGAAAAGCAUAAAGAGUUCAGGCAUCAAAUAUUCCUGAAAUAACAGUUCCAAUUAGUUCUUUGAUGAACUUCAGAGCAAACAAUUAACUCAUUGUCCUUGAGAGAAGAUUGUGUUGAUUCCAGUUUGUGCUCUAACAGGAGAUAUUGCUCCAAACUUCUCCAGAGCUUUGGGAGAGGAAGGUGUCAUGGUGAUCCAGUUCCCACAGUUGACCAAACAAAUUGUCAGCUUCUUG
Diceros bicornis minor is the source of this 3541-nucleotide long non-coding RNA. RefSeq lists it as uncharacterized. The record is from RefSeq and is a predicted model, not a curated record. The transcript is spliced from 3 exons. NCBI's taxonomy places the organism in Eukaryota, Metazoa, Chordata, Mammalia, Perissodactyla, Rhinocerotidae.